CAGUCGCCGCGGUAAUACGAAGGGUGCAAGCGUUACUCGGAAUUACUGGGCGUAAAGCGUGCGUAGGUGGUGGUUUAAGUCCGUUGUGAAAGCCUUGGGCUCAACCUGGGAAUUGCAGUGGAUACUGGGUCACUAGAGUGUGGUAGAGGAUAGUGGAAUUUCCGGUGUAGCAGUGAAAUGCGUAGAGAUCGGAAGGAACAUCUGUGGCGAAGGCGACUAUCUGGGCCAACACUGACACUGAGGCACGAAAGCGUGGGGAGCAAACAGGAUUAGAUACCCGCGUAGUCCCUGUCUCUUAUAC
RNAcentral lists this ribosomal RNA (301 nucleotides) under uncultured bacterium. RNAcentral describes it as "partial 16S ribosomal RNA". It matches the Rfam family "Bacterial small subunit ribosomal RNA", at positions 509 to 807 of the family's 1533-position model. The record is from RNAcentral.